This 492-nucleotide ribosomal RNA is filed under the name uncultured bacterium. RNAcentral describes it as "partial 16S ribosomal RNA". It matches the Rfam family "Bacterial small subunit ribosomal RNA", at positions 29 to 507 of the family's 1533-position model. The record is from RNAcentral.
AAUGAACGCUGGCGGCAUGCUUUACACAUGCAAGUCGAACGGUAACAGGCCUUCGGGUGCUGACGAGUGGCGAACGGGUGCGUAAUGCAUCGGAACGUACCCAGAGGUGGGGGAUAACGCAGCGAAAGCUGUGCUAAUACCGCAUGUGAUCUGAGGAUGAAAGCGGGGGACCGAGCAGCAAUGUUUGGCCUCGCGCCUUUGGAGCGGCCGAUGUCGGAUUAGCUAGUUGGUGGGGUAAAGGCCUACCAAGGCGACGAUCCGUAGCUGGUCUGAGAGGACGACCAGCCACACUGGGACUGAGACACGGCCCAGACUCCUACGGGAGGCAGCAGUGGGGAAUUUUGGACAAUGGGCGCAAGCCUGAUCCAGCAAUGCCGCGUGCGGGAAGAAGGCCUUCGGGUUGUAAACCGCUUUUGGCAGGAACGAAACGGUGUCCGCUAAUACCGGGCGCUAAUGACGGUACCUGCAGAAUAAGCACCGGCUAACUACGUG